This 468-nucleotide ribosomal RNA is filed under the name uncultured bacterium. RNAcentral's name for it is "partial 16S ribosomal RNA". It matches the Rfam family "Bacterial small subunit ribosomal RNA", at positions 28 to 507 of the family's 1533-position model. The record is from RNAcentral.
GACGAACGCUGGCGGCGUGCUUAACACAUGCAAGUCGAACGGAAGGGCCCUGCUCUUGUGGGGUUCUCGAGUGGCGAACGGGUGAGUAACACGUGAGUAACCUGCCCUUGACUUUGGGAUAACUUCAGGAAACUGGGGCUAUUACCGGAUAGGAGCUCCUGCUGCAUGGUGGGGGUUGGAAAGUUUCGGCGGUGGGGGAUGGACUCGCGGCUUAUCAGCUGGUUGGUGGGGUAGUGGCUUACCAAGGCUUUGACGGGUAGCCGGCCUGAGAGGGUGACCGGCCACAUUGGGACUGAGAUACGGCCCAGACUCCUACGGGAGGCAGCAGUGGGGAAUCUUGCACAAUGGGGGGAAGCCUGAUGCAGCAACGCCGCGUGCGGGAUGACGGCCUUCGGGUUGUAAACCGCUUUCGCCUGUGACGAAGCGUGAGUGACGGUAAUGGGUAAAGAAGCACCGGCUAACUACGUG